Ribosomal RNA from Protopterus annectens (West African lungfish), 154 nucleotides. RefSeq annotates it as 5.8S ribosomal RNA. The record is from RefSeq and is a predicted model, not a curated record. The transcript has a single exon. NCBI's taxonomy places the organism in Eukaryota, Metazoa, Chordata, Ceratodontiformes, Protopteridae.
GACUCUGAGUGGUGGAUCACUCAGAACAUGAGUCGAUGAAGAACACAGCUAGCUGUGAGAACUAAUGUGAAUUGCAGAACACACUGAUCAUCGACACUUCUUACGCACUUUGCUGCCCCGAGUUACUCCCAGGGUUAUGUCUGUCUGAGGGUUG